This is a long non-coding RNA of Lontra canadensis (Northern American river otter), 836 nucleotides long. RefSeq lists it as uncharacterized. The record is from RefSeq and is a predicted model, not a curated record. The transcript is spliced from 4 exons. Lineage: Eukaryota; Metazoa; Chordata; Mammalia; Carnivora; Mustelidae.
UUCACCCCCAGUGUAACUUCUGCCUCUGCUCCUCCUCUUCUUGGAACUGCCUUUUGUUUGUCUGGCAGCCUUGGUUCUAUGGGGGUGUGUGAUGAUAAUAAUACGCGGGCUUAUAUAACCCUCUUCAUCUCGCAAGCACUUCGCAGACAGUCCCUAAUGAAUCUUCGGGCCGCUGUCAGGCCGGGUGGCUGGAGCGGGCCGAGAGCAAACCCCCAGCCCGGGCGCGCGGAGGCCAGAGGGGAGGGCGGUGCGGGUCAGAGGCCAGGCCUCCCUGGCUCCCCGCGCCUCGGAGGUCAGGGCAGAUAAGGAACAAUGACUCUCGGCCUGGGGAGGAGGAAGGAAGUCCCGCUGCCACCUUAUCUCUGCUCCUGUGUACGCUCCGGGCUCCCAGAGCUUGUUCUCUAGAGAAGACUUGGAAGGCGGCUUUUGUGCUGACGGCCACCCACCACCCUCUGAAGAAGGCGAUAUUGGCGGAUGACAUGCAGGUUCUCCAAGACAGAAUAAUUGCAGAAAAUCUUCAAAGGACCCCAUCUGCAGAAGUUCUGAAAACCUCUGAGUACAGAAAUUGAUUAUUCAACCAGGAUACCUAAUUCAAGACCUGCAGAAACCAGGAGGCUGCGACAUUCUGUCGGUUUCGUGACAUUGGACCAAACACAAUGAAGUAUACUUGCUGGGCUCUGGUUCUGGCUGUCCUGGGCACAGAGCUGCUGGGGAGCCUCUGUUCGACCGUCAGAUCCCAGAGGUUCAGAGGACGGAUACAGCAGGAGCGAAAGAACAUCCGACCCAACAUUAUUCUUGUGCUCACUGAUGAUCAAGACGUGGAGCUGGGUGAGACA